ACUACGGGGGGCAGCAGUGGGGAAUAUUGCACAAUGGGGGAAACCCUGAUGCAGCGACGCCGCGUGAGUGAAGAAGUAUUUCGGUAUGUAAAGCUCUAUCAGCAGGGAAGAAAAUGACGGUACCUGAUUAAGAAGCCCCGCCUAACUACGUGCCAGAAGCCGCGGUAAUACGUAGGGGGCAAGCGUUAUCCGGAUUCACUGGGUGGAAAGGGAGCGUAGACGGUGAGGCAAGUCAGAAGUGAAAGCCCGGGGCUUAACUCCGGGACUGCUUUGGAAACUGUGUAACUGGAGUGCAGGAGAGGUAAGCGGAAUUCCUGGUGUAGCGGUGAAAUGCGUAGAUAUCAGGAGGAACACCAGAGGCGAAGGCGGCUUACUGGACUGUAACUGACGUUGAGGCUCGAAAGCGUGGGGAGCAAACAGGAUUAGAUACCCUUGUAGUC
This 440-nucleotide ribosomal RNA is filed under the name uncultured bacterium. Its description in RNAcentral is "partial 16S ribosomal RNA". It matches the Rfam family "Bacterial small subunit ribosomal RNA", at positions 338 to 795 of the family's 1533-position model. The record is from RNAcentral.